AUUGAACGCUGGCGGCGUGCCUAACACAUGCAAGUCGAGCGGUAACAGGUGUAGCAAUACAUGCUGACGAGCGGCGGACGGGUGAGUAACGCUUGGGAAUCUGCCUGUUAGUGGGGGACAACCCGGGGAAACUCGGGCUAAUACCGCAUACGCACUACGGUGGAAAGCCGGGGACCGCAAGGCCUGGCGCUAACAGAUGAGCCCAAGUCGGAUUAGCUAGUUGGUAGGGUAACGGCCACCAAGGCGACGAUCCGUAACUGGUCUGAGAGGACGACCAGUCACACCGGAACUGAGACACGGUCCGGACUCCUACGGGAGGCAGCAGUGGGGAAUAUUGGACAAUGGGCGAAAGCCUGAUCCAGCGACGCCGCGUGGGUGAAGAAGGCCUGCGGUUGUAAGCCUUCGUGGGGAAGAAAGCCUCGAGUUAAUACCUCGGGGUCUUGACGUAACCCAUAGAAGAAGCACCGGCUAACUCUGUGCCAGCCGCCGCGGUAAC
This 496-nucleotide ribosomal RNA is filed under the name uncultured bacterium. Its description in RNAcentral is "bacterial SSU rRNA". It matches the Rfam family "Bacterial small subunit ribosomal RNA", at positions 29 to 524 of the family's 1533-position model. The record is from RNAcentral.